CACGUAAUGGCGGCGUUCGGCUUGACGAC
RNAcentral lists this small RNA (29 nucleotides) under Bombyx mori (domestic silkworm). Its description in RNAcentral is "ovarian small RNA-4676". The record is from RNAcentral. Lineage: Eukaryota; Metazoa; Arthropoda; Insecta; Lepidoptera; Bombycidae.